RNAcentral lists this ribosomal RNA (433 nucleotides) under uncultured bacterium. RNAcentral describes it as "partial 16S ribosomal RNA". It matches the Rfam family "Bacterial small subunit ribosomal RNA", at positions 29 to 507 of the family's 1533-position model. The record is from RNAcentral.
AACGAACGCUGGCGGCAUGCCUAACACAUGCCAGUCGAACGAGACCUUCGGGUCUAGUGGCGCACGGGUGCGUAACGCGUGGGAACCUGCCCUUAGGUUCGGAAUAACUCCCCGAAAGGGGUGCUAAUACCGGAUAAUGUCUUCGGACCAAAGAUUUAUCGCCUUUGGAUGGGCCCGCGUUGGAUUAGCUAGUUGGUAGGGUAAAAGCCUACCAAGGCGACGAUCCAUAGCUGGUCUGAGAGGAUGAUCAGCCACACUGGGACUGAGACACGGCCCAGACUCGUACGGGAGGGAGCAGUGGGGAAUAUUGGACAAUGGGCGAAAGCCUGAUCCAGCAAUGCCGGGGGAGUGAUGCAGGCCGUAGGGUUGUAAAGCUCUUUUACCCGGGAUGAUAAUGACAGUACCGGGUGAAGAAGCUCCGGCUAACUACGUG